This 1289-nucleotide long non-coding RNA is filed under the name Acyrthosiphon pisum (pea aphid). RNAcentral's name for it is "uncharacterized LOC107885176, transcript variant X2". The record is from RNAcentral. Lineage: Eukaryota; Metazoa; Arthropoda; Insecta; Hemiptera; Aphididae.
CAUUAUUCUGUGUUGUUACCACGACCUGAGAUCAGCAGCUUCUUACAAGAUUGCAGGUGCAGCAUCCGUCAUAAUAUUAUGUGUAUCAAAUAUACCUAUCUAGAUACAAUAUCAGACCACUUUGCCGUCUUAUUUUAUGAUUUGUGAUUGCAAAUGGAUUUUUGUUAGGUACGUUCCGCCACACAAAAAAAAAUACAGAAGAAAAUGAAAACAAAACAAUUAGGCGAAGACUAGGUACGAAAAAUAUAAUAUUUAGUUGGACUUUUUGGUUACAGUGCGAACCACAUACGAGAAACCUUGUUUUUAAUUUCCAAUCCUUAGUUAUAAAAAUUGUAUUCAUUUUUAACGACAAAAUAAUCAGCAAAUGAUCGUGAUUUUGAAGAAUUUUAUCAACAUUUGAACUUCGUAUGCAGAAAUCUUGCCUAGUUAACAAAAAAAUAAUAAGCAGUCAAUAUAGACAGACUACAGUUAAGCCGUAUUAUAUUGUAUUAUAAUUUUCAAUUCGGAGCGAAAUGAAGAUGGAUGGAGAUAGCUGUUUCUUCAGCGACGGCGGCAGUUUAGCCAGGUUUCACUGGAAGAGUCGAUGUUUACGCGUACGUUUGUUUUCAUAUUAAAAGGAAAUCAUUAGUUUUUACGAAGUUUAAUUCUGACACCCAUACAUGGUGGUUUUACAUAACAAGUCGACGGAUGUUUUUGAUUUUAAUUGUCCGAGCGAGCGUCAACCCUUCCUCAAAAGUUGGUGACAAUGUUCUGGUGUCAACCCUGUCGGUAGAUCCAGGGCGUGGAGAUGCAGUCAACUUUCUUUCAAUAAUCGUAGAAGAAAAAAAGGAAAAUUUCGUAAUUUGGGAUUUAAGAAGAGAUUCUGAGCACAUGGCUGGAGCGGAACAGCUUGGCUGCUACAAAGUAUUGUUUACUCUGACGACGAAUGUGUAAUUCGGCGUGCCACCCAGGCCGUAGUUCCAAAAGUGCAUGAAUAUAAUAUAUUUUUUAUAAUUUUUGUAUUUUUGUUUUUUUUUUUACUGAAAAUAUAUUAUUUUUUAUACACAUAAUUAAUUAUUGAAAUUUCAUUAUAUUUCCAGUAUUCCUGUAUUUUAUGUAAGAUAAUGAAUAUUAAUUUAUAUUGAUUUAUUUUUUAUGACUUAUAACUUAUAAGAAGGCUCUUUGGUCUUUCCAAUUUACCGUAAUCGGCAGUAUUAUGUACAAUCUAUACCAGUGCCGUAGCCAGAAAAUAAUUUUGAGGGGGGCACUUAAUUUUUUUUCAUUAGCCUUUGAAAUGUUAGAAUAUCUAA